This 640-nucleotide ribosomal RNA is filed under the name uncultured bacterium. Its description in RNAcentral is "bacterial SSU rRNA". It matches the Rfam family "Bacterial small subunit ribosomal RNA", at positions 232 to 885 of the family's 1533-position model. The record is from RNAcentral.
CGCGGCCUAUCAGCUUGUUGGCGGGGUAACGGCCCACCAAGGCAACGACGGGUAGCUGGUUUGAGAGAGCGAUCAGCCACACUGGAACUGAGACACGGUCCAGACUUCUACGGAAGGCAGCAGUAGGGAAUCUUGCGCAAUGGGCGAAAGCCUGACGCAGCGACGCCGCGUGCGGGAUGACGGCCCUAGUGGUUGUAAACCGCUUUCAGCAGGGACGAAAAUGACGGUACCUGCAGAAGAAGUCCCGGCUAACUACGUGCCAGCAGCCGCGGUAAUACGUAGGGGACAAGCGUUGUCCGGAUUCAUUGGGCGUAAAGAGCUCGUAGGCGGUUCAGUAAGUUGGGUGUGAAAGCUCCGGGCUCAACCCGGAGAGGCCACUCAAUACUGCUGUGACUAGAGUCCAGUAGAGGAGCGUGGAACUCCUGGUGUAGCGGUGAAAUGCGCAGAUAUCAGGAAGAACACCGGCAGCGAAGGCGGCGCUCUGGGCUGGUACUGACGCUGAGGAGCGAAAGCAUGGGUAGCAAACAGGAUUAGAUACCCUGGUAGUCCAUGCCGUAAACGUUGGGCACUAGGUGUGGGGUCUACUUAACGGAUUCCGUGCCGUAGCUAACGCAUUAAGUGCCCCGCCUGGGGAGUACGG